GCAAGACCGUGAGGUGGAGCAAAACUCAAAAACUUGUCUCAGUUCGGAUUGUAGGCUGAAACUCGCCUACAUGAAGCUGGAGUUGCUAGUAAUCGCGAAUCAGCAUGUCGCGGUGAAUACGUUCCCGGGCCUUGUACACACCGCCCGUCACACCAUGAGAGUUGGCAAUACCCAACGUACGUGAUCUAACCCGCAAGGGAGGAAGCGUUCUAAGGUAGGGUCAGCGAUUGGGGUGAAGUCGUAACAAGGUAUC
Molecule: ribosomal RNA, 253 nt
Filed under: uncultured bacterium
Lineage: Bacteria
Description: partial 16S ribosomal RNA
Rfam family: Bacterial small subunit ribosomal RNA
Source: RNAcentral